CCUCCUUCUGGUGUUUUGUGGUGAGCCCAGUGUAAGGGGCCUGUGCUAUUAUUUGCAUGCUGUGUUUGGCUUGGAGCUGGGGCUCUCAGACAGCGUUUGCUCAGCUCAUAUCUGGCCACGUGAGCCAGUGAGGCAGGCAGGUAAGGCUUCCAGGGCUGUGUCAGGCUGUGUGGAUGUGCAGGAAGAGGCAUGUCUCAGCCUCCCUUCCUCUCUCCUCCCCCUUAGAACACCUGAGCUGUGCAAAUCAGUCCAUUAGUGAACAUCUUCAUCCUGCAAGGCCAUUCCUUCUUCUGCAGUAUGAGGCAAAUGUAAAGGAACCUCCUGUAGGUCCCACUAUCCCUACAGAAAUGGUCAUCCUACAUCAGGAUGUAGGAUGAUCAAGAAUCCCUCUUGACAUCCUAUAUCACCCUACAUCCCUACAGGGAUGAUGGUUAUACGUCACCCUGGAUUCCUGCAGUGCCCACAGAUUUCACUGAUGAUAUGGUGGCUCAUUUUUACCAGUGCAAGAAAUUAGAGGCCAGACCCUGCUCUCUAGUCAUGCAAAGAGUUCAACAGCUGAAAAAUCACUUUCCUACUCUGUUGGUAGAGUAAAAAGCCCAUCCCAGACCAAUUAGUUCACAGACUGUUUGUGGAACUCCAUCCUGACUGGAGAAUGAUUUGAUGAUUAAGAGAGGACAGAAACUCCUGUUUUAGUGACUGGCUUUGCUACAGUCUUGGUACAUUAUCUUGGGAGUUCUGCAAGUAAUUCGUAGAAUUAUGGAAUCAGUAAGAUUGGAAAAGACCACUAAGAUCAUUUAGUCCCACCAUCAACCCAUCACCACCAUGCCCACUGAACAAUGUCCCUAAAUUACCAAUGUGAUGGGGUGUGCCUUUAAUUCAGACCAUUUUGCUGAUUAUGUGUAUAAAAAAGCUUCUAAAACACAGUGCAACUGAUGAGGGUGGUGAAGUGCAGAGAGGCUGGGAUUUUUUGAAUUGACUUUACCACUGAAAUGAGAGGGGACAGCCAAAGAUUGCCUAUCUGGAGAACUAGUAACUACAUAAGCAUAGCCAGAGGCUGUGCUUUGGAUUUCCUGGGAGUGUUCCUUUCAGUGGGAUAUUGGCAACACUGCAGCACAUACAAAACUCUACGAUAGUGAGGCCGUGACUGCUGGGGCAAGAGGAGAAAGCAAUGGGGAAAUUCAGGGAAAACAGCUAGAAGGCACUAAGGAGUUAUCCUUUAUGGAAGCAACAAGAUCAGCUGCCUCUACGCCAGUGCAUGCAGCCUGGGAAACAAACAGAAGGAACUAGAAGCUACUGUGCUGCUUGAAAGCUAUGAUUUAGUUGUCAUCACCAAAACCUUUUGGGAUGAUUCCCACAACUGGAGUGUGGCUAUCAAUGGCUACAAGAUGUUCAGAAGGAACAGGCAAGGAAGGAGGAGUGGGGGUGUUCCUGUCUACAUCAGGAAAGGAAUAAAAUGCGAAGUUAUCCCACAGUCAUGAGCAAGUCAAGAGCCAAUGGGUAACAAUUAGAGACUGAGUCAGCAAAGGGAGCCUUGUGAUCGUUGUCUACUACAGGCCACCAGAUCAGUGACACCCUGUCAAUGAGGCUUUCACCCUCCAGCUAUGUGAGAUUUUGGGAUUGCAAGUGCUCAUCCUGCUGGGGGACUUUAUAUCAUAGAAUCAUAGAAUGGCUUGGGUUGGAAGAGACCUCGGGUCAUCAAGCUCCAAUCCCCCUGCUGCAGGCAAGUCUGCCAACCUCCAUAUCUAAUGCUGGACUUCAACCACCAUCUGCUGGAAAAGUAGCACAGUGAGCUGGAGGCAAUCCAAGAGGCUCCUGGAAUGCACUGAGGAUAACUUCCUGAGUCAAGUAACUGACGGCCCCACCAAAGGGAAUGCAGUACUGGACCUGUUGCUCACCAAUGCAAAUGAACUGAUUGGUGAUAUCAAGAUUGGAGGCUUUCUGGCCUGUAGUGACCAUGCUAUGGUUGAGUUCAUGCUCCAGAGGGACACAAGAAAGAUGAAGAGUAAAAUUAAGAAACUAAACUUUAGGAAAGCUGACUUCCAGCUCUCCAGAGAAUUAGUCAACAAAACGUCCUGGGACUGUCCUCAUGGGCAAGGGUGCAGAGCAGAGCUGGUAGAUCUUUCAGGGGGGUUUCUUUAGGGCGCAAGAGCUUUCCAUCCUGAGGUGAAGCAAGUCAGGAAAGGAAGGCAAGAGACUAGCAUGGCUGAACUGGGACCUGGUGGUCAAGCUGAAGAGCAAGGAGAAAAUGCACAGACAGUGGAAACAGGGACAGGUACUGUGGAAAGACUGUAAGGAAGCUGCUAGGCUGUGGAGGGAUGGGGUCAGGCCAAUGCUCAGCUUGAACUGAACUUUGACUAGGGAUGCCAAAAAGAACAAGAAAAGCUUCUACAGGUACCUUAACCAGAAAAGAAAAGUCCAGAAGGCUGUACCCUCCCCUAGUGAGUGACACAAGCAGGCUGGUAACAACAGACAAGGAAAAGGCUGAGGUAAUUUUGUUAUUUUUUUACUAUGGUCUUCCCUGAUAACUUCUCACCACACAGCCCCCAGACAUUUUGUUUGUUAGGAGGAGAUCAGGGAAGCAAGGUCCCUUCCAGUUUAAGUGAAGAUCAGGUUCAUGACCACCUAAGAAGCCUGAAAAUCCACAAGUCUACAAUGGAUGAUGUCUGCUGAUGAGAUGCAUCCCAGAGUCCUGAGGAAAUUGGCUGAUGCAGUUGCCAAGCCACUCUCUAUGAUAUUUGAAAAGUUUGUGUCAAUCAGGUGAUGUCCCUGGUGACUGGAAAAAAGGAAACAUCAUAUCCACUUUUAAAAAGAGUAAAAAGGAAGAUCCUGGGAACUACUGACCUGUCAGUCUCUGCUCUGUGCCAGGGAAGAUCAUGGAAAAGAUCCUCCUGGAAGCAAUGCUAAGACACAUAGAAGGCAGGGAGGUUAUAUGGGAGAACCAGACUGAAUUCACCAAGGGCAAAUCCUGCUUGAUCGACCUAGUAGCCUUCUAUGACACCUUCUAUGCAGGUGUCACGGUGUCACUGCAUCAGUGGACAGGGGAGAGUCACUGAUGUCAUCAAUCUGGACUUCAAUAAGACCUUCGACACGUGUCCCUCCUCUGAACACGCUCCAACAGGUCCACAUGUGUUCUGUACUGAGGACUCCACAUCUGGGUGCAGUACUCCAGGGCUGAACUUCGGGAGCACAUUAUGUGCAGAUUUGUGGCUUGGACACAUGCUGUGUAAGAACAGUAUGGCCAUAUCCAACUGCCUCCAGGCUCGAGAGAAGAUUUGAAUUUUUGGCCAUUGUGGCCUGGGAAGAAUGCCCGAGGUCUGAAUUGAAACAGUGGAUUUAGCUUUGCAACAAGAAUCCUUUUCCAGGAAUAAUGCUGAUUAAGAGGUCUGAGAUUUCCCCAGAGGAAAUUAAGUCUUUUUCUCUUCAUGACAGCGGUUUUGGAUGAGCCCUUUCAGAUUUUUUGCUGGGUGUGAGAGCCUGAUUUCUGGGUAACUAUGAGAAAAAGAUCAGUUUGGAAAUGGGGACUUAACCAACUGACAAAAUGUUAAAUAUUCACAAAAAUCAUGUAGCAUGAAUCAGAGACAACCUUAAUUAUUUUUUUCCCUGAGUUCUAUAACUCACUGAGUCUUGAAAUAAAAUGCUAAUUUGCCAAAACCUGGCAAAUAUGCA
Lagopus muta (rock ptarmigan) is the source of this 3666-nucleotide long non-coding RNA. RefSeq lists it as uncharacterized. Lineage: Eukaryota; Metazoa; Chordata; Aves; Galliformes; Phasianidae. The transcript is spliced from 4 exons. The record is from RefSeq and is a predicted model, not a curated record.